Molecule: non-coding RNA, 345 nt
Organism: Vicia faba (fava bean)
Lineage: Eukaryota; Viridiplantae; Streptophyta; Magnoliopsida; Fabales; Fabaceae
Source: the annotation of a GenBank genome assembly
UCAAGUCAACAUGCCAUUUUAUGUAGGAUCUACAAUCCAGAAAGGGAUUGCACUAUAAAAAACAUAGGCACACAUGUGGAGAAUCAAAAUUACUCAUCAUCUUCUCAGAUGUGGACAAGUGGAGGAGGGACCACUUAUUCUUGUAACACCCCACUUUCCCAUUCUAAUAAUUAUAAUAAAAAUAUACAGAAUAAUACAUCAGAGUCCACAAAUGGGAUGUCACAUCAUUCAAAUAAACUCAUAAAGUCUCAAGUCACUUUAUUACUUCACUUAUUCAUAGUAAUCAACCAAGCAACGAAACAACUCAAAUUAAUUUACUUCAUGGAGUUGAGGCCUCAACAAUAA